This 75-nucleotide transfer RNA is filed under the name Allocoprococcus comes. Its description in RNAcentral is "Coprococcus comes tRNA-Met". It matches the Rfam family "tRNA". Rfam says of the family: Transfer RNA (tRNA) molecules are approximately 80 nucleotides in length. Their secondary structure includes four short double-helical elements and three loops (D, anti-codon, and T loops). Further hydrogen bonds mediate the characteristic L-shaped molecular structure. tRNAs have two regions of fundamental functional importance: the anti-codon, which is responsible for specific mRNA codon recognition, and the 3' end, to which the tRNAs corresponding amino acid is attached (by aminoacyl-tRNA synthetases). tRNAs cope with the degeneracy of the genetic code in two manners: having more than one tRNA (with a specific anti-codon) for a particular amino acid; and 'wobble' base-pairing, i.e. permitting non-standard base-pairing at the 3rd anti-codon position. Lineage: Bacteria; Bacillati; Bacillota; Clostridia; Lachnospirales; Lachnospiraceae. RNAcentral also lists the same sequence under 3 other names. The record is from RNAcentral.
CGCGGGAUGGAGCAGUCUGGUAGCUCGUCGGGCUCAUAACCCGAAGGUCGUAGGUUCAAAUCCUGCUCCCGCAAC